CGAACGCUGGCAGCGUGCUUAACACAUGCAAGUCGAACGAGAGGAGCAGGAAGCUUGCUUCUUUCAAAUCUAGUGGCAAACGGGUGAGUAACACGUAAACAACCUGCCUUCAGGAUGGGGACAACAGACGGAAACGACUGCUAAUACCGAAUACGUUCCUUAGGUCGCAUGACUUUAGGAAGAAAGGGUGGCCUCUACUUGUAAGCUAUCGCCUGAAGAGGGGUUUGCGUCUGAUUAGGUAGUUGGUGAGGUAACGGCCCACCAAGCCGACGAUCAGUAGCCGGUCUGAGAGGAUGAACGGCCACACUGGAACUGAGACACGGUCCAGACUCCUACGGGAGGCAGCAGUGGGGAAUCUUCCGCAAUGGGCGAAAGCCUGACGGAGCAACGCCGCGUGAGUGAUGACGGCCUUCGGGUUGUAAAGCUCUGUGAUCGGGGACGAACGGUCAGCAGACGAAUACUCUGCUGAAGUGACGGUACCCGAAUAGCAAGCCACGGCUAACUACGUG
Molecule: ribosomal RNA, 509 nt
Filed under: uncultured bacterium
Lineage: Bacteria
Description: bacterial SSU rRNA
Rfam family: Bacterial small subunit ribosomal RNA
Source: RNAcentral